This is a non-coding RNA of Vicia faba (fava bean), 357 nucleotides long. The record is from the annotation of a GenBank genome assembly. Lineage: Eukaryota; Viridiplantae; Streptophyta; Magnoliopsida; Fabales; Fabaceae.
AAAAUUGUCAAAUGUUUUAUAACUUACUGUCUAAAGGGUGUAAAAUAUGGAUAUAUCCGAAGAUUAAAAUCCGAAAUUUUUAGAGCUUCAAACUUUCCUAGAAAGUUUAUUACUAGGAAUCCCAUGUUGAAUGUUAUUUGGAAGAGACUAGGUUUGUGGCAGAAUAAAUGUUUGGGGGUUCCUUGUAGCAACUCAUGUAUUAUGUUUGAUUUGAUUUUUCUAAUAAAUCAUUAUUCAUACAACAAUCAUCUGCAACAACAUGUAGAUUUCAUCAAUGUAAUACAUCCUGUAAAUAAUAGUAACGAAAUUGCAUACAUCUUUCAUAGCAAAUUGAAACAUCCAUUGUACUGUUUAUAG